UGAGGAAUAUUGGUCAAUGGGCGGAAGCCUGAACCAGCCAAGUCGCGUGAGGGACGACGGUCCUAUGGAUUGUAAACCUCUUUUGCCGGGGAGCAAAGCCGACCUUGCGAGGUUGGAAGGAGAGUACCCGGAGAAAAAGCAUCGGCUAACUCCGUGCC
This 158-nucleotide ribosomal RNA is filed under the name uncultured bacterium. RNAcentral's name for it is "partial 16S ribosomal RNA". It matches the Rfam family "Bacterial small subunit ribosomal RNA", at positions 355 to 509 of the family's 1533-position model. The record is from RNAcentral.